AAUGAACGCUGGCGGCAUGCCUAACACAUGCAAGUCGAACGAAGCCUUCGGGCUUAGUGGCGCACGGGUGCGUAACGCGUGGGAAUCUACCCAAAGGUACGGAAUAACUCUCCGAAAGGAGUGCUAAUACCGUAUGAUGUCGCAAGACCAAAGAUUUAUCGCCUUUGGAUGAGCCCGCGUUGGAUUAGCUUGUUGGUGGGGUAAAGGCCUACCAAGGCGACGAUCCAUAGCUGGUCUGAGAGGAUGAUCAGCCACACUGGGACUGAGACACGGCCCAGACUCCUACGGGAGGCAGCAGUGGGGAAUAUUGGACAAUGGGCGAAAGCCUGAUCCAGCAAUGCCGCGUGAGUGAUGAAGGCCUUAGGGUUGUAAAGCUCUUUUACCCGGGAAGAUAAUGACUGUACCGGGAGAAUAAGCUCCGGCUAACUCCGUGCCAGCAGCCGCGGUAAUU
Molecule: ribosomal RNA, 451 nt
Filed under: uncultured bacterium
Lineage: Bacteria
Description: bacterial SSU rRNA
Rfam family: Bacterial small subunit ribosomal RNA
Source: RNAcentral